UUCUUCCAAGAUUGGAACAUUUCAGCCUGC
Molecule: non-coding RNA, 30 nt
Filed under: Rattus norvegicus (Norway rat)
Lineage: Eukaryota; Metazoa; Chordata; Mammalia; Rodentia; Muridae
Source: RNAcentral